ACGCUCGACACCUACUGGAGGCAGCAGUGGGGAAUAUUGGGCAAUGGAGGCAACUCUGACCCAGCAACGCCGCGUGAGUGAUGAAGGUCUUCGGAUUGUAAAACUCUUUAAGUAGGGACGAAGAAAGUGACGGUACCUACAGAAUAAGCCUCGGCUAACUACGUGCCAACAGCCGCGGUAAUCUGAGCGGGCUGGCAAGGC
RNAcentral lists this ribosomal RNA (201 nucleotides) under uncultured bacterium. RNAcentral's name for it is "partial 16S ribosomal RNA". It matches the Rfam family "Bacterial small subunit ribosomal RNA", at positions 328 to 539 of the family's 1533-position model. The record is from RNAcentral.